GAUUGAAGGAGAGACACGGCUCGGUACCCGCUGAAAGAAGCGGGAAGAGAGACGUAAAUGGAGGGAGGGGAGAGCUGAUGAAAAUGGUCAAGUACUUCAUGAAAAUUACAGACAAAUAAGAGCAGGAAUAGAAAGAGCCUCAACCUCCAGAGGAACACUCUACUUGAGAUGACACUGCUGUAGGCUGAAGAAGCAAACCUCAGAGCAAAGG
Tupaia belangeri chinensis (Chinese tree shrew) is the source of this 211-nucleotide long non-coding RNA. RefSeq lists it as uncharacterized. The transcript is spliced from 3 exons. The record is from RefSeq and is a predicted model, not a curated record. Lineage: Eukaryota; Metazoa; Chordata; Mammalia; Scandentia; Tupaiidae.